ACAGCAGCAGCCACGGGAAUACGUAGGGUGCAAGCGUUAAUCGGAAUUACUGGGCGUAAAGCGUGCGCAGGCGGUUAUAUAAGACAGAUGUGAAAUCCCCGGGCUCAACCUGGGAACUGCAUUUGUGACUGUAUAGCUAGAGUACGGCAGAGGGGGAUGGAAUUCCGCGUGUAGCAGUGAAAUGCGUAGAUAUGCGGAGGAACACCGAUGGCGAAGGCAAUCCCCUGGGCCUGUACUGACGCUCAUGCACGAAAGCGUGGGGAGCAAACAGGAUUAGAUACCCCGGUAGUCCCUGUCUCUUAUAA
RNAcentral lists this ribosomal RNA (305 nucleotides) under uncultured bacterium. RNAcentral describes it as "partial 16S ribosomal RNA". It matches the Rfam family "Bacterial small subunit ribosomal RNA", at positions 505 to 809 of the family's 1533-position model. The record is from RNAcentral.